AAAAUAGUAAAAAAAAUCAAGUUCCACUAGAUAUUCGAAAUUACGUGGGCAUUACUUAAUAUAAAUAUAAUACACAUAAUAUAUACAAUUUAUACAAAACAAGGUUCUGCCAAAUACCUAUAUUUUGAAAACUUUGAAUAUGAAUGUAGACCUCAUUUUCUUGCAAUUCCACCUCCAAUCUUAUUUUAUGCCACAAAUAUACUUUGAAGCUUGUAUUUUUUGAAAACAAAGUAGGUUUUAAUAGCGAAAAUUAUUUUGGAAAAAAGAAAGGGAAUCGUCUGGUAUAUAGGAAGAAGAAGGUAUUUAUUGAGGUAUAUAUAUGGCAUACCUGAAGAAGACGACUUGCUUUUUAAAAAAGGAUAUAGCGUCGGGUAUUUAGGUGCUAUACUUGGGCGUAACAGCUUUUCAUGUAUAGCGCUUAAAUACUCGGUGCUAUAUAACGGCAUAGUUAACGUUAAUAUAUAACGCCCGGUAUUUAAACACUAUAUAUAAAAAUAUCAUUUUCUUACACCUAUUAAAGUGUUACUUAUCAAAAAAGCUACAUUUGUUUUUCUGUGGGAAAAAUUAAUAGUACCAAAACAUUUUACUUGAUAUUUCACAAUUGAAUAGGACAAAUAAAUGUCAUGGUACUCAAAAGGCUUUCAUGUAAAAGGGCAUGACUACCUUUCUAAAGAAAAAACAUAUACAGAGAAGCACUUGCUCUCAUCCAGUUUGCCAAGAAGUGAUAGUAUUUUAGAUUCUAAUAUCAUGCUUCCUAUUUAUAUAGACCCAAUAACGAGGGUAGUAAAUAGAGUAGGUUAGUCUAGGAUAAUUAUAUUUUUGAUAUCCAAUCUAUAAGGAUAACUGUUUUACUCCAUCUUGAAGUCUUUAUAUAAACGAUAUUUUCAAAUUAAAACCGGAAGAAUUAGGACUCCAAAUAAAGCUAUCCCCAGGCAAUAACGUUCCAAGAAGUUUAUUUGAUUAUGAGUUUCAUUAAAAUGGCUAUUUGACCAUACAUCGCAAUCAAUGAAAAUUCUAAUGCUUUUGGACUUGAAAAUUGACAUCAUAUACGAAGAUUCUUUUGCAGGGGCCUUGUACGUAAAUUCUUUGCGAAUUAUUUAUCAUGGAUUUUCAAUUUCAGGCUCUCAUGGCCAAUAACCUCGUUGAAAAUUAAUAAAGUAAGCCUACAAAUUGGUAAAUUAUCCAGCGUCUAAGUCCAUUUCAUGUAAUUGGAUAGAGGCAACAAAAAAAAU
This 1232-nucleotide long non-coding RNA is filed under the name Nicotiana benthamiana. RNAcentral describes it as "long non-coding RNA (NBEN_LNC018625)". The record is from RNAcentral. Lineage: Eukaryota; Viridiplantae; Streptophyta; Magnoliopsida; Solanales; Solanaceae.